CUUUAUAUUACAAGCCGGGGGCCUCGAGGGCUAGAAUACAGAAGCUCGAAAAACACACGAGUUAGCGGAAGCAACAAUAUAUGAGUACAAACAUUAAACAAGAGGUGUCUUAGAGAAGGCUAGCACAAAACAAACACGAUCGAACGAGGCGAGGCCUCCUACCUGGGAACCUCCUAACUACUCCUAUUCUUCAGCGGCCUCCACGAAGAAGUCACCAUCGGGGUGGCAGGCGUUGGCAGGAAAACUCCAUCUCCCGGGCUCCAAUAUCUGGUUGCAGCAACGGAUCAAGGGGCAAAGGGGGAGCGAAGCAACGGUGAGUACUCAUCCAAAGUACUCGCAAGACUUACAUCAGAACUAUACUAAGUAUGCAUCAGUAUCAAGGGAGGGGGCGUUUAUAUGUGGACUGACUGCAGCAAUGCGAGAAUAGAGAGAGAAGACCUAUUCCUAUCGAAGACUAGCAUCUUCAGGGUCUUGCAGCAAUAGACGAGAGUAGAACAAGAUAGCACAAAUAAUAGUCAUAUUGUUGCAUCAAUAUUAAUAUGAGGUCACACACAGAGAUCCUCCCUCGACUCCCUACGAGGAAGCAAUCCCGGGACAAAUAAUUCCAGUUAAGUAACAGUUGUAGUUGUAUAAGAUCAGGGCACAACUCCAAGUCGUCCUGUAAUCAUGGACACGACUAUCCGAAUAGUUCAUUUCUUCCCUACAGGGGUGCACAACAUAUUCCAGACGCGCUCGAUAACAAUCUCAUCGGACACACUUUUCUGGGUCAUGCCCGACCUCGAAAUAUCGACAUGUGCAGCCCCAUCUAAGCUCAACACAGAGGCCAGCCCGCCGGUCUAACUCUUGGUUCGUGGCCCACUUGCCCUCUGCGCUCCUGCACGAUGCGUGGGCGGCCGACGUCAGUGCUAGCACCUCUUAAUAACAAGCGCGAUGCAUCUCGGGACCACUCGGGCGUGCGCCGCUCCAUUGCUGACGUUUGAAAAGCUUCAGCUCAUACCACGACGCCGAGUACCCAUAAUUAUUCCCAAGCAGACGGUUAGUGCGUAAUAAGGCCUUCCGACCAACCCAGAUCAAAUAUCCAAAUCCAUUAACAUUUUAAUUAAGUCAUCGACACAUCCACGCGGGAAUCCACCCACCUAAUAUCUAUACAUCAAAGUAACAUGGUCAAGUAACUGUGUGGUUAUAACAUCGGGGGAUCCGAGGUAUCAUCCUAGUUGGAUGCCGAACGAUGUAACCGUCAAGGUGGACCUGGAGGAAUCACCCUCGAGGGUCUCACACUUGAGGGGUUGUACGACAGAGGCAUCGUCGGGAAUGGUGAAGGAGGAAUCAUCCUCGAUAACCACGACUGCCUAGCUGUACUACAAAGCUAUCAUCUGGAGUACUUCGGGAGGUGUCACCCUCGGUACUCGAUAGUAGCUCUGUAGCGUCGCACAACUAAGGGGGGUGUAAGUGAUGUGUGGGAUCUGGCUCGUUGAUCUGGGAUCGAGACUAGACAAUAAAGCAGGGCAACUAGACUAAAGGGGUCAAAGGGGAUGACUGGUCCACCUAUAAUAAACAGUUUAAAGUUACAGUAUUGAAAGUACCAGUUCAUCAAAAAUAGGCUAUGCAUCAGAUAUAGGAGCUAACUACAACGGUAACAAAAUUCUAAUGCAAGCAUGAUGAAGAAAGAAUAGACGAUAUAGGAAUGAUUAAGGGGGUUUGCUUGCCUGGUUGCUCUGCAGACAAAACGGAUCCUCGACCGGGAAGUAGUCGAUCACCGGAUCAUCAUCGACCUCGGGGUUUACCGGUAAGAAGAGGGGGAAGAAACAAUAAAUAACAGCAACAGGUGCAACACUAAGCAUGACAUGGCCAUAUGCAGACUAAGCAUGAGCUAAUACAGCAACACAUGUCGAAGACGGGUCGGAAGAAUAUCUAACGAUAUUUUCCGGGUCUCUGGCUACUACCGGUCAGAUGAAAAACGAUGAAAAAGUUCCACGUUUGCCCUGCUAGGGACACGUGACAGAUGAACGGAUAACGUAUCCGGGUUCGUCUCGUUUUUCUGAUCAACUUUCAUGUAUAAAUUAUUUUCAUCUGACUUACGGGUUUUCCUGUUAAUUUUCAAUGUUUCAAUGGUUUUUUGAAAUUUCUAGAUUUAUUAUAAUUCGAGUUGACCCAGUCAAUUUGACUGGUGAGAAAAGGAAAAGUUCCUAUCUUUUUUCGUUAACGCAGAGCAGUCAGAUAACGAACUGGAAACCUUACUUUAGUUCAUUCCUUUUACGCACUUAGUCAGAAAAACUAGGAAGUACUGAAACUGAUCCUAUUUCAGAUCUGGAAUUUCAUUCCAACUUAGGCCGUUUGGAAUUGGCAUAGCUUGAUCUAUGAACUCUCGGCACGUACGACAGUUGCUUCGACAAACAUUUGGUAGACUAGCUUUCGAAGUGCCAUUAAGAUCCAGAGAGUGGGGUGGCCCACAUGUCACAUACACCUAUUUUAUAUGAUGAUUAUAAAUAAACAAGAGGCCCAAUGGCAUAUAUAGAUUAUAACUAAGCAAAUAAUUAAAAACUAACCUAAUUAAAUUGGCUUCACAUGUCAUACACACAUUAGACUAACUAUAUUAAACAACUAAACUAUAAUCUAGGUAACCUAAGUAGCAUUGACUAAUAAGUAGACACUAGCAAUGUGGCACACCGGCCACACACACAGCACACACACACGUUUUGCACACACGGGGGCUACGCAUCCAAACACACACACACGUUUGGCACACAACACAAAGGGACAUCUAGCCAUGGCCAGCCCCAAGCAGCAGCAUAGAACGGCAGCGGUAGCAAGCUUCGGCAGUUUGGGCUAGACGCAACAUUAAUAGACAGUAGUAGCAGUAGUGAGCAGCGGCAACAAGCAGCAGCGAGCACGCAAUAGCAAGCAGCGCAGCUAGUAGCAGCAGCGUCAGAGCAG
This 2934-nucleotide long non-coding RNA is filed under the name Hordeum vulgare. RNAcentral describes it as "long non-coding RNA (HVUL_LNC011576)". The record is from RNAcentral. Lineage: Eukaryota; Viridiplantae; Streptophyta; Magnoliopsida; Poales; Poaceae.